UACAGUUUUUUCACACAUAUGGUUACGUACACACAUUUUCCUGCCUACCAUAUUAGGACAUGUUCCUGUCUCCCAGCACCUGCACUCUGCUUUUCUGCUGAUAUGAGAAGGGAGUGCUUGGCCCGUUAAUCUUUUCACAUCCUUUCCUACUCCUACAGUUCUUCAUUAUUUUUCUGCUUCACUACACUCAAGGCCAAGUUUGUGCAACAACACUUCUGCAAGCCACAAUGUCUUAUACUAACACAGGUUAUACAUUUUAUUUCCCACACUGUUUAUGAACAUAAUAAUAAUUAAUGCACACACAUAAUAUAUGUCCACACAUAGUAGUUAAUUCCUUUGUGUUUAGGUUCUUAGUUUAUUCUUGUGAUUUUUGGAUUUUGAUCCAUUUCUCUCCCCUUUUUCCCAUAGGUUUGUAGUUUUAUUGUGUCUAGUUCACCUUCCCCCAGUCUGCCUGUUUGCUCUCCUCUAUAGCUGUUCCUAAUCCCCUGAAAAACUCACCUGCAUUUAAUGUCAUUCUCCACUCUCACCACAGUAUAUAAGCUCACCGGUUUUCAUUAUUAUAACAACAAUUACUUUGCCUGAGCUCCAUGUCCUGUUUUCCUUAUGUAAGAUCUGUAAGUUAUCUUUUUUAUUUAUUAAACAUCCACCAAGCUCAUCCCAUGACAUGCUUUAAUCAGGUGAUACCACAGCACUUUUCUUAAUUCUGCCUAAGAAAGCUUGUUCACUGCAAUUGGUUUAGAGGGUGAGAAGAAAGAAUUAUUAAGCUCACACAAAUGGUGACAACAUCAAAUAACUUUGCAAAUAACCAUUCACAUAACCAGAAUAUAAAUUGUAAACGUACAUUCCACUUUUGUAACAGUCUGAAUACAAACUAUAAAAAAGGCUAUUUAUUCUUGCCUAACACUAACAUCAGUCAACCUAACUGGCCUUGGCUGGUUCACCAGUUAACUAAAAGAAGGCAUUCAAACAAAAACAGGAUUUGGAAAAAUUGUAGUGGAACUAAUAGAACUUGCCCUUUAAGAAAUAGUCUGUCCACUGGGUUUAAUGUACUGUUGUGAAUGGUUGAUGCAAUGAGGUGACACAUAUCACCAAAAACAGCACUUUAUGAGCAGAUUUUACUUUAUGGUUCUUGUUUGUUAUUAUGUUUCACACACUGGCUGGGGCAAUAAAAAAAAACAUGGAUAAAUGUGAAGCUGCUGCUACACACAACACUGAAUGAAGAAGCACAGACACACCCUUUGUAAGCUUAAAGACAGAGUUGAGGUUGUCCAUGGGAUUAAAACUAUGGUUGUUUUUAUUUCAAAUGGUUUAAAUAGUUUAACUUCAGUAGUUGUUUGCUAUAAAAAAAUAAUGAUCAGCCUUUCUGAAGCUAACCAAAAGUGAAUAGCAGUUUGUAUGUUUUCCAGUUACAUUGUUGAUGAAUCUUAUCCUUUAAUAGCAUGAGACCUGUUUUUCUUGCUUAAACAACAAUUACACAUGUUCGAUCAUGACAGCACAAUGUACCUUGUCACAGUAAGCAACAGCUGGCACAGCAUCAACAAAUAUCUAAGUAGCAGGUAACUCGCACAGGAGACACGCUCAUGUAGCACCUCACAGCUGGAUGCUGAUUGCAUAAAUUACACACAACUGUCACCACAAAAUCCUAGCUUGCACUCUGCCAACAAUUUAACAAAUCCUUAGUUUUCUUUUUUCACAUUUUGGCAGAACUGGUUUAUAUAAACACCAAUUUCUGGGCUAAAAUGAUUAAAUGACAUUUUCAUAUGACGAAUGCUCUUUGAAAUUUGAAAUCAUUUGUACAGAUUAGGUCUUUUUUUUUUGUCUCGUGAGGACCCAUAUUGAUAAUUCAGGCCUAUGAAUAUUCCUAUACUUUAAAAAUAACUGACCUCCCAUCGGGGUCACUUACAUGUAAAUAUAUUAACUGCAGGCUCAUUAACUAACCCUUAAAACUGACUGGUUAAACUGAUUUACACUGCAUCCGCUCCGCUCAGGUACGAACACUUGAGUAAAUACGUACCAAUUAUAGUCAAUGAGAGCAUUUACACUGACUCCGUGGAGCAGUGCGGAGUGGCGGCAUGCAAAAAACGAAAAGUAAAGCAGUCUUAACUGGUUUGACUUCCACAGAAUGAGUUGUUUUGAACUAACUUCCGCAUUUAUCACUUGCUUUUAUUGCACGAUCGGCACAUGCUUCUUGGAGCACCUCUGGACUUUGCAGCGGACUGAAGAAGAGUGGAGCGGAGCAGAGCGGAUGUAAUGUAAAUCCAGGGUAACGCUUCUCUUGUAACAUCCUGCAGGAAUGUGUGACCUGAAGAAUCUCCUUUCCAUUAGCAAGGACGGGCCAAAUGUGAACUUUAAGUUUCUGAAUGACUUCCAGCGAGAACAUGCUGAACUUCAUGGAGGACGGCAGCUAAUUUCUUUUGGAAGCUGUGGACUCCAUACUCUACACAACUCACUCAAAACUGGCUUCUCCAUAUGGAAUCUUGAGAAACUAUUAAGAGCAACGCACUUUGUUUUUCACAACAUUCCUGCAAGAAGAGAGGACUACACUAAACUUACUGGCUUGUCUCUGUUUCCACUCCCAUUCUGUGGACACAGAUGGGUGGAAAAUCUGGCUGUUACAGAGAGAGCCAUUGAGGUCUGGCCAAAGCUAAGAGUAUGUAGUGGCAGUCCACAGAAAAGAACUCCCGAACCCUGGAACCUCAUCUUUUGAUAAUGUUGAAGCAGUGCAUAAAGAUCCCCUGAUCUUAGCCAAACUUCAUUUUUUCAUGUCGAUAUGCAGAACUUUCUGCCCAUUCUUGACCAAGUACCAGACGGACGAGCCUGUCCUGCCAUUCCUAUGCAAAGACUUGACCGAACUGAUGAUGGUGAUGCUCUUGUGCAGCAGUUUGACAGCUUUCUCUCUCAGCAUGGCAACAGCCAGGAAUUUCUCUCCUUCAAACCCAUGGAUCAGCGGCUUGAUGGUUUUCUUCAUCAAACUCUCGACCAGACUUAUCCUGAGUUGCAGAGUUUUUUUUAAUGCCUGCUGCUCUUAUCUCAUGGCCAACCUACAGUGGAGAGAGGCUUCUCUGUCAACAAGAAAGUCCCUGCAACAUAACUGAGCAAACUGUUGAGGCCCAGAGACUAGUCUUUGACCAGGUCAGAGCUUGUGGGGUUGUUCUCAAAGUGCCACUCACUAAAGAACUACUGGCUUCUGUAGCCUCAGCCAGGACAAAAUACAGGAUGUACCUCGAUGAAGAGAGGAGGAAGCGAGAGGGUGCAAUGCGUGGACUUAAAAGAAAAGCAGUGGAGGAAGAUCUGGAAGCACUGAGAAAGAAAAAAAGCUGUGUUGACAGAGGUGUGCACCAGCCUUCAGAAGGACGCUGAUGAACUUGCUGAGAAAGCUGAAAACAAAGCAGGCAAACUCAUGGCUCAAAUGAUUACCAAAUCAAAUACUCUGAGGAGGAGACACAAGGAGAAAUGCCUUGAACUCAAAAACGUUGAGACAGAGUUGCAGCAAAAAGGAAAUGAACUAAAACUUAUGCAGUAUUAAGCAUACACAAUUAUUAAAGAUUAUAAUUUUUA
This is a long non-coding RNA of Girardinichthys multiradiatus, 3558 nucleotides long. RefSeq lists it as uncharacterized. The record is from RefSeq and is a predicted model, not a curated record. NCBI's taxonomy places the organism in Eukaryota, Metazoa, Chordata, Actinopteri, Cyprinodontiformes, Goodeidae. The transcript is spliced from 3 exons.